GGAGGAGUUUUAAGGAAAGGUGUGAGCUUUCCAAAUGUGCAAGCUUAGCAAGAUGUCAAAGCUGCAAGCUUAGCAAAGUGCGAGCUGUUCAAGACACCUGUUGAAGACAAUAUGCAAAGAUGUGAGUCUGUCAAAGGUGUGAGUUCAGCAACAUGUGGAAGCUCAAUGUGUGUUGUAUAGUUGCAAGCCUAUUGAAGACAGUAAGCAAAGUGUGAGCUUGUCGAAUUGCAAGCCAAAAUGGCAGAAUGAAGGCAAGCAA
This 259-nucleotide long non-coding RNA is filed under the name Gossypium barbadense (sea-island cotton). Its description in RNAcentral is "long non-coding RNA (GBAR_LNC023552)". The record is from RNAcentral. Lineage: Eukaryota; Viridiplantae; Streptophyta; Magnoliopsida; Malvales; Malvaceae.